Molecule: small RNA, 28 nt
Filed under: Bombyx mori (domestic silkworm)
Lineage: Eukaryota; Metazoa; Arthropoda; Insecta; Lepidoptera; Bombycidae
Description: ovarian small RNA-19783
Source: RNAcentral
UAAUGGACUUUCCCUUUCUGCCUCCAAA